Molecule: unclassified non-coding RNA, 1230 nt
Filed under: Hevea brasiliensis (rubber tree)
Lineage: Eukaryota; Viridiplantae; Streptophyta; Magnoliopsida; Malpighiales; Euphorbiaceae
Source: RNAcentral
CAAGGAAACGUUUCCAGAACGGGGCAACGCUCUCGCCUCCAGUUUCCGUGCAUCCUAGCCUAGGGUCUGGUUGAGAAAAUGUGUAAAGUAUUUUGAAGUAUAUAGGGUGCCUUGUGAUCGAAAGGUAGAAAUGGCAAGUCUUUUCUUUGUGGGUAGAGUAGAUGCUUGGUAUCACAAUUGGUAUAAAGGGGAAAAAUAUUCUUGGGAGGAAUUCGAGAAAGCUAUUUGUAGUAGGUUUGGGGAUAAGGGAUUGGAGGAUAUAGUGGAGGAAUUCAUGAAAAUAAGGCAAGAAGGAACUGUGGGCGAAUAUCAAGCUGAGUUUGAAGAUCUUAGAAUUAGAAUGGAGAGAUUGAUGCCUGAUUCAGGGGAAUCAUAUUUCCUCUCUGGCUUUGUGGGUGGUUUAAAAGAUGAGAUUAGAUUCAUGGUAAGGAUGAUGAAACCUGUUUCUUUAUCUCAGGCUAUGGAUAUUGCUAGGUUACAGGAGCAACUAUUGGAAAGUAGUAAGAAACCUAAAGGCAGUACCAAUUUUUCCAAACCCUUCAAGAAUUUCAGCAGUAAUUCUACCACUCCUAACCCAUCAAAUUCUCCAUUCUAGCACUCGAAACCAAAUCAAUCUUAUCAGUACGCUCCAAGACCACCCAAUUCUAAUCAGAAUUCCAAACUUAAUCCAAGCACGACUGUUAAAACACAACCUGCAGGCAGCAGCAUUUCUUCUAACCAAACAACAGCCUCAUCUUCAGCACCCAAAACUGAAAAUAAUGGUACUGCAGCUCCUAGAAAUUUACUCAAACCUUGUUUUAGGUGUGGGGAGAAGUAUUUCCCUGGACAUCAAUGUAAACCCAAGUCCUUAAAUGUAAUUUAUGUAGAAGCUUAGAAGGUAAGGAAGAUGAGUUAGGGGAUGAAAAGUGACAUGAUGUGAAGGCUGAUUUGGAAGAAAUGGGGAUUAUGGAAGACAACCUUGUCUGUGCAUGCUUUGGAAGGGAGUCAUUGUAUAGAUACAAUAAGGAUGCUGGGGACUCAUAAAAAUAGGCAGCUGGUGGUAUUAAUUGAUAGUGGUAGCACUACUAGUUUCCUUGAUAAAAGAGUGGCUUUGGACUUGAAAUUAAAAUUUAGUGAAGAUUCAUUCUACAGCUGUUACAGAGGCUGAUGGUAGAAAAUUGAGUUGUGAACACAUGAGCCAUAAUUUUAAAUGGAAAAUGCAGGAAGUGGAGUUUGCAUUUGAUUUUAGAA